This 715-nucleotide ribosomal RNA is filed under the name Micrococcus luteus. RNAcentral describes it as "bacterial LSU rRNA". It matches the Rfam family "Bacterial large subunit ribosomal RNA", at positions 1586 to 2286 of the family's 2925-position model. The record is from RNAcentral. Lineage: Bacteria; Bacillati; Actinomycetota; Actinomycetes; Micrococcales; Micrococcaceae.
GUGAUCCGGUGAUCCUAUGCUGCCUAGAAAAGCAUCGGCGCGAGGUUCAAACUGCCCGUACCCUAAACCGACACAGGUGGUCAGGUAGAGAAUACUAAGGCGAUCGAGAGAAUCAUGGUUAAGGAACUCGGCAAAAUGCCCCCGUAACUUCGGGAGAAGGGGGGCCCCAACCUUGAGCACCACGUGCUGGUGUGAGGGGAUCGGGGCCGCAGAGACCAGGGGGAAGCGACUGUUUAUCAAAAACACAGGUCCAUGCGAAGUCGUAAGACGAUGUAUAUGGACUGACUCCUGCCCGGUGCUGGAAGGUUAAGGGGACCCGUUAGCUUCGGCGAAGCGGAGAACUUAAGCCCCAGUAAACGGCGGUGGUAACUAUAACCAUCCUAAGGUAGCGAAAUUCCUUGUCGGGUAAGUUCCGACCUGCACGAAUGGAGUAACGACUUCCCCGCUGUCUCAACCAUGAACUCGGCGAAAUUGCAUUACGAGUAAAGAUGCUCGUUACGCGCAGAAGGACGGAAAGACCCCGUGACCUUUACUAUAGUUUGGUAUUGGUGUUCGGUGUGGCUUGUGUAGGAUAGGUGGGAGACUGUGAAGCGGGCACGCCAGUGUUCGUGGAGUCGUCGUUGAAAUACCACUCUGGUCACUCUGGAUAUCUAACUUCGGCCCGUGAUCCGGGUCAGGGACAGUGCCUGAUGGGUAGUUUAACUGGGGCGGUUGC